RNAcentral lists this ribosomal RNA (448 nucleotides) under Aeromonas sp. R-17630. Its description in RNAcentral is "bacterial SSU rRNA". It matches the Rfam family "Bacterial small subunit ribosomal RNA", at positions 30 to 468 of the family's 1533-position model. Lineage: Bacteria; Pseudomonadati; Pseudomonadota; Gammaproteobacteria; Aeromonadales; Aeromonadaceae. The record is from RNAcentral.
AUUGAACGCUGGCGGCAGGCCUAACACAUGCAAGUCGAGCGGCAGCGGGAAAGUAGCUUGCUACUUUUGCCGGCGAGCGGCGGACGGGUGAGUAAUGCCUGGGAAAUUGCCCAGUCGAGGGGGAUAACAGUUGGAAACGACUGCUAAUACCGCAUACGCCCUACGGGGGAAAGCAGGGGACCUUCGGGCCUUGCGCGAUUGGAUAUGCCCAGGUGGGAUUAGCUAGUUGGUGAGGUAAUGGCUCACCAAGGCGACGAUCCCUAGCUGGUCUGAGAGGAUGAUCAGCCACACUGGAACUGAGACACGGUCCAGACUCCUACGGGAGGCAGCAGUGGGGAAUAUUGCACAAUGGGGGAAACCCUGAUGCAGCCAUGCCGCGUGUGUGAAGAAGGCCUUCGGGUUGUAAAGCACUUUCAGCGAGGAGGAAAGGUCAGUAGCUAAUAUCUGC